RNAcentral lists this ribosomal RNA (492 nucleotides) under uncultured bacterium. RNAcentral's name for it is "partial 16S ribosomal RNA". It matches the Rfam family "Bacterial small subunit ribosomal RNA", at positions 29 to 507 of the family's 1533-position model. The record is from RNAcentral.
AGUGAACGCUGGCGGUAGGCCUAACACAUGCAAGUCGAACGGCCGCACAGUAAGAGCUUGCUCUUACGGGUGGCGAGUGGCGGACGGGUGAGGCAUACAUCGGAAUCUACUUUUUCGUGGGGGAUAACGUAGGGAAACUUACGCUAAUACCGCAUACGACCUACGGGUGAAAGCAGGGGAUCUUCGGACCUUGCGCGAUUGAAUGAGCCGAUGUCGGAUUAGCUAGUUGGCGGGGUAAAGGCCCACCAAGGCGACGAUCCGUAGCUGGUCUGAGAGGAUGAUCAGCCACACUGGAACUGAGACACGGCCGAGACUCCUACGGGAGGCAGCAGUGGGGAAUAUUGGACAAUGGGCGCAAGCCUGAUCCAGCAAUACCGCGUGGGUGAAGAAGGCCUUCGGGUUGUAAAGCCCUUUUGUUGGGAAAGAAAAGCAGCAGGUUAAUACCCCGCUGUUCUGACGGUACCCAAAGAAUAAGCACCGGCUAACUUCGUG